Molecule: ribosomal RNA, 201 nt
Filed under: uncultured bacterium
Lineage: Bacteria
Description: partial 16S ribosomal RNA
Rfam family: Bacterial small subunit ribosomal RNA
Source: RNAcentral
GACGAACGCUGGCGGCGUGCUUAACACAUGCAAGUCGAGCGGUGAGGCCCUUUUCGGGGGUACGACGAGCGGCGAACGGGUGAGUAACACGUGGGUGACCUGCCCUCAGCUCUGGGAUAAAGCCGUGGGAAACCGGGUCUAAUACCGGAUAUGACUCCAUGACGCAUGUUGUGGGGUGGAAAGCCUUGUGCGGCUGAGGAU